Molecule: ribosomal RNA, 1771 nt
Filed under: Finegoldia magna
Lineage: Bacteria; Bacillati; Bacillota; Tissierellia; Tissierellales; Peptoniphilaceae
Description: bacterial LSU rRNA
Rfam family: Bacterial large subunit ribosomal RNA
Source: RNAcentral
ACUGGCAUAAUAGCUUUUCUAUCGGUAGAGGAGCGUUGUAUAUGAAUUGAAGCAAAAAGCGUAAGCAAUUGUGGAUUAUAUACAAGUGAGAAUGCUGGCAUGAGUAGCGAAAAGGGAUGUGAGAAUCAUCCCCGUCGAAAGCCCAAGGAUUCCUGAGCAAGGCUCGUCCUCUCAGGGUAAGUCGGGACCUAAGGCGAGGCCGAAAGGCGUAGUCGAUGGACAACAGGUAGAAAUUCCUGUACUACAAGAUUGUGAUUGAGAGAAGUACUGACGCAGAAGGAAAAGUCGAGCGUGUGAAUGGUAGAACACGUCCAAGUAACAAGCCAGAAUAUACAGGCAAAUCCGUAUAUUCGCUAACGUAAGUUAUCAUGGGGAGCAGAAAGAUGCGAAGCGACAGAUUCAAACUGCCAAGAAAAGGUGCUAUCGAAUAAUCUUGUACCCGUACCGCAAACCGACACAGGUAGGCAAGAAGAGAAUUCUAAGACGCGCGGAAGAACCUUUGUUAAGGAACUCGGCAAAAUAAUCCCGUAAGUUAGCGAGAAGGGAUGCCUAAGAAAUUAGGUCGCAGAGAAUAGGCCCAAGCGACUGUUUACCAAAAACACAAGUAUCUGCUAAAUCGAAAGAUGAAGUAUAGGUGCUGACACCUGCCCGGUGCUGGAAGGUCAAGGGGACUUGUUAGAGCAAUCGAAGCAACGAACUUAAGCCCCAGUAAACGGCGGCCGUAACUAUAACGGUCCUAAGGUAGCGAAAUUCCUUGUCGGGUAAGUUCCGACCCGCACGAAAGGUGUAACGAUUUGGGCGCUGUCUCAACAAAGGAUCCGGUGAAAUUGUAGUAGUCGUGAAGAUGCGACUUACCCACGGUAGGACGGAAAGACCCCGUGGAGCUUUACUGCAGGUUGACAUUGAAUUUUGGGAUUAAAUGUACAGGAUAGGUGGGAGACUAAGAAGCAAGCUCGCCAGAGUUUGCAGAGUCACUGUUGGGAUACCACCCUUUUAAUUCUAAAGUUCUAACUAGUUGCCAUGAAACUGGUAAUAGGACACUGUCAGUCGGGCAGUUUGACUGGGGCGGUCGCCUCCAAAAAAGUAACGGAGGCGUUCAAAGGUUCGCUCAGAAUGGUUGGAAAUCAUUCAAAGAGUACAAAGGCAAAAGCGAGCUUAACUGCGAGACAUACAGGUCGAGCAGAGACGAAAGUCGGACUUAGUGAUCCGGUGGUACCGAGUGGAAGGGCCAUCGCUCAACGGAUAAAAGCUACCCCGGGGAUAACAGGCUUAUCUCCCCCAAGAGUCCACAUCGACGGGGAGGUUUGGCACCUCGAUGUCGGCUCGUCUCAUCCUGGAGCUGGAGUAGGUUCCAAGGGUUGGGCUGUUCGCCCAUUAAAGAGGCACGCGAGCUGGGUUCAGAACGUCGUGAGACAGUUCGGUCCCUAUCCACCGUGGGCGUGAGAAAUUUGAGAGGAUCUGUCCUUAGUACGAGAGGACCGGGAUGGACAGACCGCUGGUGUACGAGUUGUACUGCCAAGUGCACAGCUCGGUAGCUACGUCUGGAAAGGAUAAGUGCUGAAGGCAUCUAAGCACGAAACCAACCUCGAGAUAAGAUUUCUAUGAGAUUACUUGAAGAAAACAAGAUAGAUAGGUCAGAGGUGUAAAGAUAGUAAUAUCAAAGCUAACUGAUACUAAUAAAUCGAAAACUUGACUGGAAAUAUAUACUGUUAUUGAUUGGAAAUGAAAAGUGAAUAAGUAUGGUGAUAAAAGCAAGAGGGAUACACCUGUA